GAGUUUGAUCAUGGCUCAGAUUGAACGCUGGCGGCAUGCCUUACACAUGCAAGUCGAACGGCAGCACGGGAGCUUGCUCCUGGGUGGCGAGUGGCGAACGGGUGAGUAAUGCAUCGGGAACGUAUCCUGGAGUGGGGGAUAACGUAGCGAAGUUACGCUAAUACCGCAUAUUCUGUGAGCAGGAAAGCGGGGGACCUUCGGGCCUCGCGCUCUUGGAGCGGCCGAUGUCGGAUUAGCUAGUUGGUGAGGUAAAGGCUCACCAAGGCGACGAUCCGUAGCAGGUCUGAGAGGAUGAUCUGCCACGCUGGAACUGAGACACGGUCCAGACUCCUACGGGAGGCAGCAGGUGGGGAAUUUGGACAAUGGGGGCAACCCUGAUCCAGCCAUGCCGCGUGAGUG
This 399-nucleotide ribosomal RNA is filed under the name bacterium enrichment culture clone ALO1_GLFRUDD03GD6JW. RNAcentral's name for it is "bacterial SSU rRNA". It matches the Rfam family "Bacterial small subunit ribosomal RNA", at positions 9 to 407 of the family's 1533-position model. The record is from RNAcentral.